This 517-nucleotide ribosomal RNA is filed under the name uncultured bacterium. RNAcentral describes it as "bacterial SSU rRNA". It matches the Rfam family "Bacterial small subunit ribosomal RNA", at positions 372 to 880 of the family's 1533-position model. The record is from RNAcentral.
UGGACGAAAGUCUGACGGAGCAACGCCGCGUGAGUGAUGAAGGUUUUCGGAUCGUAAAACUCUGUUGUCAGGGAAGAACAAGUACCGGAGUAACUGCCGGUACCUUGACGGUACCUGACCAGAAAGCCACGGCUAACUACGUGCCAGCAGCCGCGGUAAUACGUAGGUGGCAAGCGUUGUCCGGAAUUAUUGGGCGUAAAGCGCGCGCAGGCGGUUCCUUAAGUCUGAUGUGAAAGCCCCCGGCUCAACCGGGGAGGGUCAUUGGAAACUGGGGAACUUGAGUGCAGAAGAGAAGAGUGGAAUUCCACGUGUAGCGGUGAAAUGCGUAGAGAUGUGGAGGAACACCAGUGGCGAAGGCGACUCUUUGGUCUGUAACUGACGCUGAGGCGCGAAAGCGUGGGGAGCAAACAGGAUUAGAUACCCUGGUAGUCCACGCCGUAAACGAUGAGUGCUAAGUGUUAGAGGGUUUCCGCCCUUUAGUGCUGCAGCAAACGCAUUAAGCACUCCGCCUGGGGAG